RNAcentral lists this long non-coding RNA (3500 nucleotides) under Sus scrofa (pig). RNAcentral's name for it is "lncRNA (ENSSSCG00025018300.1)". The record is from RNAcentral. Lineage: Eukaryota; Metazoa; Chordata; Mammalia; Artiodactyla; Suidae.
AUGCUAACAAGAAAGGAGGAAAAAAAUACCUCUUCCUCCCUCCCGGUCAACCCUUCAGGCCGCUCUCCGGCCGGCCUGGCAGCGGCGAGCCCAUCCCCCCGCGCCCUCCCAGCCCAGACGUGCGACUGGUACAGAUUAAAAAUGUUGAGGCUGCUGUAUUUCCAGGAAAUCAGUUUGUAUUCAAGCACUCUUACACUCAAACCCAUGAAAGAAAGCCAAGAUCUUCUCUUUUUACCACGUCAUCUUCAGAAAGGGGGAGUUUUGAUAUCAUUUGUGGAACACACUGAGUCCUUGAGAAUACACAAUGGGCUCCCCAACAAAGGAGGUGGCAGAUCCAGAGGAAGUGAAACUUUCUGUGGGGGAGAAAAAAAAUAAUAAAGUGGGUUAAAUCUUUCUUUUUCCUCUUGAGUCCCUCUUUUCUGUAUUUUGUGACCUGUGUGGUAAUACCAGGUCUGGAGUAUCCCUUUAUCACUAAAAGUUACAGUGGAUAGCAUAAGGUUCAGAUUUAAAACACCAUGGAGCGAACAAUUCAGGAAAAUUCUGCUUUAAUGCCUUAAGGAAGUUGAGGGCCAGAAACCAACAAUGAUGAGGACUAAAGAUUUAGCUAGAAGUCAUAUACAAUCGCCGGGAGGGUCCCUUGAACUUUUCUGGACCCCUCCUAAGUCCAGAAAAGUCACAGUGGCAGUAGCCAGGGGUUGUUAGUGGCAUCAGAACCCACUUCUAAUGAGACACAACUAACAAGCAUUGAAGCUAAUUUCUUUCCUUAAGUGGUUUUGAAAUUUGAUGCAAGUACUAGUGUUAUGGGGGGGGGGCGUGUGCCCACAGCAUGUGGAAGUUCUCCAGCCAGAGAUCAAACUCAUGCCACAGAAGUGACAAUGCCAAAUCCUUUAACAACUAGGCCACCAGGGAACUCCAGUACUAGUGUUAUUUUAUAUCAGUUAUUUAUUUUGUUAUUUUAAAUCUUAUAUAUACUUUUUUAUCUUAUUUUAAAUUUUGUCUUACUUGAAUAUACUCAGUAUAGGAAGUUGACGUUACUCUCUGAGCCCCCCCGCCUUUGUUCUUAAAUAAUAAAUACAGCUCCAGGAGGUCUCAUCAUAGCUCAGCAGUAAUGAACCUGACUAGUAUCAGUGAGGAUGUGGGUUCCAUCCUUGGCCUCACUCAGUAGGUUAAGGCCAAAAGGCCAGAAGCUGCAGCUCCGAUUCAACCCCUUGUCUGGGAACUUCCAUAUGUCGUGGGUGCGGCCCUAAAAGACAAUACAUAAAUAAAUAAAUAAAUAAAUAAAGCUCCGUUCUUUCUCUUUCACAGGAAGUAUUAAUGAUAAGCUGUGUUUUUAACAAAAGAUUAAACUUGCAGAACUCUCUGAUGACAAACUAAGUGACAAAUUUAUUUAUUUAUUUAUUUAUUUUUGUCUUUUUGUCUUUUUUGUUGUUGUUGUUGUUGUUGCUAUUUCUUGGGCCGCUCCCGCGGCAUAUGGAGGUUCCCAGGCUAGGGGUCGAAUCGGAGGUGUAGCCACCGGCCUACACCAGAGCCACAGCAACGUGGGAUCCGAGCCGCAUCUGCAACCUAUACCACAGCUCACGGCAACGCCGGAUCGUUAACCCACUGAGCAAGGGCAGGGAUCGAACCCGCAACCUCAUGGUUCCUAGUCGGAUUCGUUAACCACUGCGCCACGACGGGAACUCCAAAAUUUAUGAUCAUAUAACCAGAACGUUAUUCACAUCUUAGUCUAAAUUGCCAGUGUUCAAAUAUGCUUUCUCCAUAUUCAUUUGAUCAGGGAACAACAAAAGGAUAUACGACCUAAUUGUUUUGUUGGUGCUUUUCUCUCUUCCGUAGUUUUAUUUGAAUUACAGAAAUAUUUCAGUUCCUAUCAGCAAUUCUAACUCUUCAUUUUAAAGUACAUACCUAGAAAUUCAAAGUGUAAAUACCGGCGAUGUUCUGCUUAAGGGUAACUAACUACCCAUCUGUGACACUAGGAAAUGAGGCUAUCUUGAGUUUUGAUACUGCCACCUUCAGGACGCAAGUCUUUAUUCUGGAACUCUGGAAUGGUAAAAAAAUUAAAUCUAAUUAAAUUUUAAAAUAGUUCCCCCUCCCCCUCAAAAAAAAAAAGAGUUGUCAUUUAUUUAACACAUACUUUGCACCAGGCCUUAUGCUAAGAAGUUUUUAAAACUUUUUUUCCACUAUUCCUUUAAGGUAAAUCCUUAUUUAUGGAGUCAUUCAUUCAUUUGACAAGGAAAUAAACAGGGGACUGAGACAAAGAACAAUGAAAAGGUAUAUUUAAGUUGGUUUGAUUUAAGUCAACUUUGAUUUCUGUUAAUUGUUUAAAGAGCUAACCACAAAAAGAGGAGGAAAAGGUCAUUUCAGAGAAGGGGUGCCCAUACCAUGGCUCUCUAUGGGGGAAUCUUGGCAGGUUCAAGAACUAGAAAGCCAACCCCUGUGGCCCUUGAGCUGAGCAUGAACAAACUUGAGGGAGUUCCCGUCAUGGCUCAGUGGAAACGAAUCUGACUAGUAUCCAUGAGGAUGCAGGUUCAACCCCUGGCCUUUCUCAGUGGGUUAAGGAUCCAGCGUUGCCAUGAGCUGUGGUGUAGGCUGGCAGCUAUAGCUCUGAUUCGACCUCUAGCCUGGGAACCUCCAUAUUCCCUGAGUUUGGCCCUAAAAAGACAAACAACAGGAGUUCCUGUCGUGGCGCAGUGGUUAACAGAUUCGACUAGGAACCAUGAGGUUGCGGGUUCGUUCCCUGCCUUGUUCAGUGGGUUAAGGAUCUGGCAUUGCUUUAAGCUGUGGUGUAGGUUGCAGACGCGGCUCGGAUCCUGCAUCCUGCUCAGCUGCAUUGCUACAGCUGAGAUUAGACCCCCUAGCCUGGGAACCUCCAUAUGCCACUAGAGCUGCUCAAGAAAAAAGGCAAAAAGACAAAAAAAAAAAAAAAAAAAAAAAAAAGGCAAACAACAACAACAAAACUUUGAAUAAUCACACUUCAAAUUGGACACAUAAGCAGAGACCAGAUCAAAAACCUGAAAUUUGAUUUCUAAGCUAAAUGUCAUGAAAGACCCUGUAAGGAUUUUAAGCAGGGAAAUGCUGUGAUAUGAUUUACAUUGUAUUAUCUUUUGCUCCUACAUGGAGAUGGAUGUUUAGAGAUCAGUUUGGGGGCUGUUAAAGUAAUUGAGUCGAGAGAUGACGGCAGCACAAAAUGUGAUGGCAAUAAGAGGUGCAGAAUCAGCAAAGGAAACCAAAAAGAAAACAAAAAGACAACUUACAGCAUGGGAGAAAAUAGUUUCAAAUGAUGCAACUGACAAGGGCUUCAUCUCUAGAAUAUAUAAGCAACUUAUACAACUCAACAGCAAAAAAACCAGUCAAUCAAUGGAAAAAUGGGCAAAAGACCUGAACAGACAUUUCUCCAAACAAGAUAUACAGAUGGCCAACAAACACAUGAAAAAAUGCUCAACAUCGCUGAUUAUAAGAGAAAUGCAAAUCAAAACUACCAUGAGAUACCACCUCACACCAGU